This 1895-nucleotide long non-coding RNA is filed under the name Marmota monax (woodchuck). The record is from RNAcentral. Lineage: Eukaryota; Metazoa; Chordata; Mammalia; Rodentia; Sciuridae.
GUGGAAAUGAAUAAAGAUUGAAUAAUAAGUUAUCUAGCCUUCUCAACCUUGUUUUCAAGGUUAUGUGAUGUCUUUGAUAAGACAGAUUUAUAGAAAGCUGAAAUCACUUACUUGAAUUCAAGUCAGAUCCUUUGUUCUUUCUUAAAAAUUUACAGACUGAUUACAAAUUAUACAAAUGAAAACACUUGAGGAUAAGAUAACAAUCUUCUCUAAAGCAGAUGCUCUUACUUUGGAUUAGUUAAUAAACUUGGUAGAGUCUAUGAAUCUACCAAAAUUAUAGUCACUCAUCACACACACACACACACACACACACACUUAAACAAUAUAGUAUAAUAUAUACAUGAUGUUUACUUUGUAUUAGGCAUAAUGAGUAGUCUAAAGAUGAUUUAGAGUAUAAAGGAGGAUAUGUAUAUGUUAUAUGUAAAUACUAUGUCAUUUUACAUGAAAGAAUUGAGCAUCUGCAGAUUUGGGUAUCCCAGGGAGUUCAUGGAAUUGAUCCCCUCCCUGAAGACGCUAGGGAUGGCUAUAUAUGUAUAUUUUUGCAUAUGUGUAUUGUUUUAUGGAGGUGGUCCUUCACAUUCAUUGAUUCUGAAAGUGACUUAGUUACUAUUUGCUCGCCUAAAACUUAAUAAUUAGAUGAUUUUGAGAACAGAAGGGGGCCUGGUUACAAUAUGUUUGAAUUGGUUUGCCUUAAAGCUCUUGGAAGCAAGACAUGUUCAGGGAAAUAUAUUAGGACACACACACACACACACACACACAUUUGGCAAAGAAAACAUAUAUUUUUAAGUCCAGAAAAAAAAAUCCUUUAGAUUUGUUACAGAUGGAGUAAAAGAUAUGGGGUGAUAUUUGUCGAAUUUUUGUAACAGAUGCUAAUGUAAUUUUGCAAAGGUUUCACAGAUACUAUUGAAAUAAGUGGUCCUAGUAUUGACCCUGUAUUUAAAAAAUAUGAAAUAUUAAAUAUAGCUUAGUUUUAGUUUGUGUAAAGAAAUAAUAUUUCAGAAGAUAAAUGUAAUCUCUCUGAGAUAACAUGCAAACUCUGAUAAUUAUAUAUUAGAAAUAAGACUAUAAAGCUAUAAAAUAUAUAUGCACAUAAUUUCAAGUGUUUUGCCCAAAUAAUUUUAUUUUUAGACCUAUUCAUAUUUAAGGGGAUACUCAGUCAUUCAGGAAGUAUGAAGACUUAAGGGCUUCAAUCAUUAAAUAGAUAACGUCCUUUCCUAGAUCUAAGGAGAGUCAGACAGAAAACAUUCAAAAGCAAGAAAUUCUAACACCUGAGGAUGGUGCAAAGAGGUGUGACCAGCAGUUCAGAGGAGGCUGCUCUGUAGAGGUGGCAUUUAAACAUACUUUUAAUAUGAAUCCAGUCCAGAGAGAAUCUGGAAGAAGAGAUUUCAGGGAAAGAGAGAAGCUUGUGCAAAACUCCUUGAAGCAAAGUCCACCCAGGCUUGUUCAGGGACUGCACUGAGGACAAGAGCACACAAGUGAGGGGAGAGUGACCUGAGAUAAGAUUGGGCAAGAAAACACCAGGCAAUACUGAGCCAAGGAGAGCAAACAGGAUCCAGGAAGAGUUUGUGAACUUCCAGUGAGAACUCCUAUUCUGAAAUCAGGGUCACUGCCUCUUUCUGGAAUCUGACCUCUCAUGAAGUUCAACUUGUUAACCAGACUCUUUUGCAAACAGCAGUGAGUCUUUGAGAUAGGUCAUACUGUUGGAUUGAUACUGCAUGGACACAGGAGGCAUGAGAGACUAACUCAAGAUCUUAAUGCUAAUUUACAAUUGAUAAUUUUGAGGAGCAAAGGGAGAAAUUGAAUGGAUGGAUGAAUAAUUUGAGUGUGUAAUUGCAAUCAUUGAAAAUGUAAUUCGAAAUAAAAGCAUGAGUACAGUAGUACCCCCUUAUUUGUGG